This 39-nucleotide non-coding RNA is filed under the name Cyanobium sp. PCC 7009. Lineage: Bacteria; Bacillati; Cyanobacteriota; Cyanophyceae; Synechococcales; Prochlorococcaceae. The record is from RNAcentral.
GUGUUUCGGACAGCGGUUCGAUUCCGCUCAGCUCCACCA